This 573-nucleotide ribosomal RNA is filed under the name Channa argus (northern snakehead). RNAcentral describes it as "partial 16S ribosomal RNA". It matches the Rfam family "Bacterial large subunit ribosomal RNA", at positions 1817 to 2600 of the family's 2925-position model. Lineage: Eukaryota; Metazoa; Chordata; Actinopteri; Anabantiformes; Channidae. The record is from RNAcentral.
CGCCUCUUGUAAUUUAAAAAUAAGAGGUCCCGCCUGCCCAGUGACACUAAGUUCAACGGCCGCGGUAUUUUGACCGUGCAAAGGUAGCGCAAUCACUUGUCUUUUAAAUGAAGACCCGUAUGAAUGGCAUAACGAGGGCUUAACUGUCUCCUUUUUCAAGUCAAUGAAAUUGAUCUCCCCGUGCAGAAGCGAGGAUAACAACAUAAGACGAGAAGACCCUAUGGAGCUUUAGACACCAGAGUAGCCCUUGUCAAACACCCCCAGUAAAAGGGCAAAACCAAAAGGACCCUACUCCCCUGUCUUUGGUUGGGGCGACCGCGGGGAAUACAAAACCCCCAUGUGGAAUGGGAGAACCCCUCCUGAAACCAAGAGCCACGGCUCUAAGCAGUAGAACAUCUAACCAAAAGAUCCGGCAUGGCCGAUCAACGAACCGAGUUACCCUAGGGAUAACAGCGCAAUCCCCUUCUAGAGUCCAUAUCGACAAGGGGGUUUACGACCUCGAUGUUGGAUCAGGACAUCCUAAUGGUGCAGCCGCUAUUAAGGGUUCGUUUGUUCAACGAUUAAAGUCCUACG